UCCUUUUCUCCCUACAACUAUAGAGAAUACAACAACUUAAUUUAAUUUAAUAAGGUUUGCCAGUAAUCCCUCUUAGAAUACCUAGGAUGAAUGCCUGGUGCCAUCAGCCUGGGAUGCUUUAUAUAAGACUUUUAAGUUAGAGACUACUGUGCAAAGAAAUGAAAAUUGCUUCAAAACUCUCUUCAGAAAUAUUCUUCUAUGUUGUCAUCUCUUAGUCAUCCCAAAUAUUUCAGAGAUAUAUUUUCCCCUCCUUCUUACCAGCUAAUACCAAUUUUCGCAUCAAUAACUACUCAGCUCCAAUGUCACUUUUUUUCCAAUGUCACUUUUAAGGAAUGUUUUCCCCAACUUUAGACUGAAUUGGUCCUCCUAUGAAAUUCUUUUAGAACACAACACGAUUUUACCUCAUGGUGACUGUCACAUUGCCUCCACAAUUAUUUGUAAGGUAAUAAUUCUUGCCUUUCUCUCUCAGUAUGUUAUAAAAUAAAAAGAGGACCAACUAUGUUGUGUCUCUUUGAGAUGACUAUUUGCUACCCAGAUGAAGGAACAAAGCAAGCAUUCAAUAAAUGAAUGACAAAUCAAUUUCCCUCAGUGAGAUGAACAAAAACAGACCUGGGAAUUAGGAUGUACAACUCAAGAAAGGUGAGUGAAAAAAGCUUUCCCCCUGUACAGAAACAGUGGUAGACUUUAUGCCAUGCUUAUGAAAUGGUGGUGACUGACUGGAUAAACACCACAGGGCCUGGGACCAGCUUAUCUGUGCUCAAAACCAAACUCAGUAAUUGCCAGUUGUGGAAAUUUGUAGGGAUAAAGUUAUUUGUCUUAUUUUAUGUUUUCUCUUCCUGUUUCUAUGUCUUCUCACUUCCUACCCCACCUCAUUAUCUUUUGAAGGAAAGGAGAUCUUCACUCCUUUGAAAAAAAGAAAAUGAAGAAGAAAGAGCAGGAAGAGGAGGAGCAGGAGGAGAAGGAAAGAAGCAAGGAAGGAAAGAAGAAGGAAGGAAGGAAGAAGGAAAGAAAGACAAAGAAAGAAAAAGAAAGAAAGAAAAAAAGAAAGAAAGAAAUUUAUGGAGCUAGCUCAGCUGAUUCCCUGGAGGAAGAUGCUGCUGGCUUUACAGAAUGUAGAGUCACCUGGAAAAGGAACAGCUGGGCAUGCCUAUGAGAGAAUAUCUUGACUACAUAAAUUAAUGACAGAAAAACUCUAUUAGUUGUGGGGUAACCAUUCUCUGGGCAGUAGAUCUUGAGUUGUAUUAAAUAAAGUUAGAUAAACAGCAGAAUAGAAUCAUUCAUCUAUCCCUGCUUCCUGAUAUUGGAUGACCACCACCACCCCCAUGUUCCAGACAUACUGACUUCCUCACUAAGAACUCAGAACUGUGAUCAAGUCAAAACCCAUUAUUCAUGACCUGGAGAGGACAGGAGUUCCACAAGGACCAAAUAUAUCUGGGCACAGGGGUCUUUUAUGAGACUGUUUCUCCAAACAAGGACAGUGUAUGGAUGCAACCUAGAGCCCCUGCUCAGAUGUAGCCUUUGGUAGCUCAGUAUCCAAGUUGGUACCCUAAUAAGGGGAACUUGGACUGUUUCUGACAUGAACUCGAUGGCGGGCUUUUUGAACCCCGCUCCCCUGGGAAGAGCAGCCUUGCUAGGCCACAGAGGAGGACUUUGAAGCCAGUCCUAAAGACACCUGAUAAACCAGUAUCAGAUGUAAGGGGAAGAGGUUCUCCCUUAUCAGUGGACUUGGA
Long non-coding RNA from Meriones unguiculatus (Mongolian gerbil), 1730 nucleotides. RefSeq lists it as uncharacterized. The transcript is spliced from 3 exons. The record is from RefSeq and is a predicted model, not a curated record. Lineage: Eukaryota; Metazoa; Chordata; Mammalia; Rodentia; Muridae.